ACAUGAUCCAUAAGUCUUUUCAAAACUGAUUCUCCCCCCAAUUUAACCAAGAUUAUUUUCAGAUCCCUACAAAAGACACAAAGCAAGACUCGAUUAUCCUAAAUAAAAUACAAAAAAAGCAAAGAUAAAAACAAAAAUUUAAAAUUUAAAAACUAGGGUUGCCUCCCAGAAAGCGCUAAGUUUACCGUCUUCAGCUAGACCAUACUGAUUCUCUCACCUAUCCCGUGUCAAAUAUUGGAUUGAUAAAUUCUAAUGGUUUUGGAUUGCCAAUCUCAAGAAGAUGGUCUAUAAUAAAUUUUAAUAUUUUAUUAUGAAUCUUUAGAAAGUAGUUCACAUCCUCAUUCUUAAUUUUAGAAAGAUAGUUCACAAACCCAUUCAUAGACUCUUGUUUAUCGAGAAUUUUUCCUAUUUGUUCUUCUAAAAUGCUCAUGAAUUGAGUUUUUAGG
Molecule: long non-coding RNA, 446 nt
Filed under: Elaeis guineensis (African oil palm)
Lineage: Eukaryota; Viridiplantae; Streptophyta; Magnoliopsida; Arecales; Arecaceae
Description: long non-coding RNA (EGUI_LNC032422)
Source: RNAcentral